RNAcentral lists this ribosomal RNA (531 nucleotides) under uncultured bacterium. RNAcentral's name for it is "bacterial SSU rRNA". It matches the Rfam family "Bacterial small subunit ribosomal RNA", at positions 28 to 546 of the family's 1533-position model. The record is from RNAcentral.
AUUGAACGCUGGCGGCAGGCCUAACACAUGCAAGUCGAGCGGCAGCGGGAAAGUAGCUUGCUACUUUUGCCGGCGAGCGGCGGACGGGUGAGUAAUGCCUGGGAAAUUGCCCAGUCGAGGGGGAUAACAGUUGGAAACGACUGCUAAUACCGCAUACGCCCUACGGGGGAAAGCAGGGGACCUUCGGGCCUUGCGCGAUUGGAUAUGCCCAGGUGGGAUUAGCUUGUUGGUGGGGUAAUGGCUCACCAAGGCGACGAUCCCUAGCUGGUCUGAGAGGAUGAUCAGCCACACUGGAACUGACACACGGUCCAGACUCCUACGGGAGGCAGCAGUGGGGAAUAUUGCACAAUGGGGGAAACCCUGAUGCAGCCAUGCCGCGUGUGUGAAGAAGGCCUUCGGGUUGUAAAGCACUUUCAGCGAGGAGGAAAGGUUGAUACCUAAUACGUAUCAGCUGUGACGUUACUCGCAGAAGAAGCACCGGCUAACUCCGUGCCAGCAGCCGCGGUAAUACGGAGGGUGCAAGCGUUAAUC